This 75-nucleotide transfer RNA is filed under the name candidate division BRC1 bacterium HGW-BRC1-1. RNAcentral's name for it is "tRNA-Arg". It matches the Rfam family "tRNA". From Rfam's summary of the family: Transfer RNA (tRNA) molecules are approximately 80 nucleotides in length. Their secondary structure includes four short double-helical elements and three loops (D, anti-codon, and T loops). Lineage: Bacteria; Candidatus Sumerlaeota. The record is from RNAcentral.
GGGCGCGUAGCUCAGCGGUAGAGCAGCGGACUUCUAAGGUGUUGGUCCUGGGUUCGAAUCCCAGCGUGCCCAGCA